Molecule: unclassified non-coding RNA, 508 nt
Filed under: Hevea brasiliensis (rubber tree)
Lineage: Eukaryota; Viridiplantae; Streptophyta; Magnoliopsida; Malpighiales; Euphorbiaceae
Source: RNAcentral
CAAACACACACGUGUAUAUGUACUUGAAGACUGAACUUUGAUUCUCCAAGCUAAACAAUCGAUUCCAAAGAGUGCUCUGAAAUACCAAAUCAACAGAAUCUCUGUUCACUCUUCUCUCCCAUAUCUCUGCUGCCAACUUUUAAUCCCUUUCAAGUUUCACCAAUAGGGAAACCAUUUUAGCUCCAAAUAAACCACCAUGAAAAAACUCAGAGGUUUCAGGCCUGGCCGCAGGCUUGUCAGAGUCUUCAAAUGGAUAAUCCGAUCCAGGAGAAAACCCACUACUGGUUCCCUUAUCUCGGAUCAUCCAGCUCGCUCCCUUAAUCCCAUCUCCAAAAUCUUGGCCUUAGUUCGUAACUUACGACGUGGAGCUCUUCCAAACUCAAACCUGGGAUAUAUCCGGUUGGGUCAGGCAAAACCAGCGGAGGUGCCGAACGGACACUUGGCUGUGUACGUGGAAGAAUCAAUUGGUGACAAGCGGCGGGAAGUGGUGCCUGUAAUAUACUUCAAU